ACUGCGAGUGAAGCGGGAAAAGCUCAAAUUUGAAAUCUGGCGGUCUUUGGCCGUCCGAGUUGUAGUCUGGAGAAGCGCUUUCCGCGCCGGACCGUGUACAAGUCCUCUGGAACGGGGCGUCGUAGAGGGUGAGAAUCCCGUCUUUGACACGGACAGCCGGUGCUAUGCGAUGCGCUCUCGAAGAGUCGAGUUGUUUGGGAAUGCAGCUCAAAACGGGUGGUGAAUUCCAUCUAAAGCUAAAUAUUGGCGAGAGACCGAUAGCGAACAAGUACCGUGAGGGAAAGAUGAAAAGCACUUUGGAAAGAGAGUUAAACAGUACGUGAAAUUGUUGAAAGGGAAACGCUUGAAGUCAGUCGCGUCGUCCGGGAUUCAGCCUUGCGAUUCGUCGCUCGGUGUACUUUUCCGGUUCGACGGGCCAGCAUCGAUUUCGAUCGUCGGACAAAGGCGGGGGAAACGUGGCACCCUUCGGGGUGUGUUAUAGUCCCUCGUCGGUAUACGGUGGUCGGGAUCGAGGAACUCGGCACGCCCUUCGGGGUCGGGGCUUCGGCCCACGUCUCGUGCUUAGGAUGCUGGCGUAAUGGCUUUAAACGACCCGUCUUGAAACACGGACCAAGGAGUCUAACAUGCCCGCGAGUGUUCGGGUGCAAAACCCGUGCGCGUAAUGAAAGUGAAAGUUGGGACCUUCGAGAGGAGGGCACCGACGCCCGGACCAGACCUUCUGCGACGGAUCCGCGGUCGAGCGUGUAUGUUGGGACCCGAAAGAUGGUGAACUAUGCCUGAAUAGGGUGAAGCCAGAGGAAACUCU
RNAcentral lists this ribosomal RNA (805 nucleotides) under Fevansia aurantiaca. Its description in RNAcentral is "LSU rRNA". It matches the Rfam family "Eukaryotic large subunit ribosomal RNA", at positions 86 to 865 of the family's 3401-position model. The record is from RNAcentral. Lineage: Eukaryota; Fungi; Basidiomycota; Agaricomycetes; Russulales; Albatrellaceae.